Molecule: non-coding RNA, 21 nt
Filed under: Caenorhabditis elegans
Lineage: Eukaryota; Metazoa; Nematoda; Chromadorea; Rhabditida; Rhabditidae
Source: RNAcentral
UGCGUGCUUCUACGUCAGGUA